Long non-coding RNA from Hibiscus syriacus, 212 nucleotides. RefSeq lists it as uncharacterized. The transcript has 2 exons. The record is from RefSeq and is a predicted model, not a curated record. Lineage: Eukaryota; Viridiplantae; Streptophyta; Magnoliopsida; Malvales; Malvaceae.
GUGCGAUCAUUAUGAACUUGGAUGUUGCAGGUAGAACAUAUAUAGGAAACAUGAUUUCCCUAGUUUCCACAUGCAUUACAAAAGAAUGGGUUAUUUGGCCUUAAUAACAAAAUGAAAGGGUGGGGCGAUUAUGAUGAGAUUUAUCUUCAAUAAUGGGUGGUGGCCAAGCACACGUACAGUGGAUGUAGAACUUGCAAGGGACACAAUGAUAA